UCCAAUUGCAAGAUAGUUAUGUAUUUAGUUGAAUGGAUGGUGAAUACAUAAGUUUGAAUAAACAACAUUUUAAAAUUCAUUGUAGGGAGAAGGGGGCUAGUUGUUACAAGGGCAAGUUGUUAUAUUUUAGUUUAAAAAUCUCAGGAGUCUCAUAUCUAUUGCGUCUACCCUUUGCACAGUUCUACCAAAGGUAUGGUACUUGUAGCUUGUGUAUUACGUGAGCUCGGUUGAUUUAAGUGUUUUUAACAGUAAAAAGUAAUUUUUUCAUCUGACUUUUAACUCACUUCCACGACCGUGUGAUAAAGGCAAGUUUUUUAAAAUUUCCUUACCUAAAGCUCUUUAUAUUAAAUGCAAUGCGUGUACUUCGUUCUUCACUUCAGUCGAAUAUUGGCACUGCUUUGACUGUUAAAUCAAAAUGGUGCACCGUGGGGCCAGUUGUUACACUGGACCUUGUUAUGGUGUAUCAGUGUGACCCAUAUCUUUUGAAAUAACUUGCGUUGGCAAAUGAUUACAUUUUAUUUUUUAUCAUGAAAGAUGGUACGAACGUACAAAAGGAAGACUAACAGAGGUAAUACAUGUUUGGAAAUGUUUAAGUUAGCAGCUGAUGAAGUCUCUUCUGGAAGAAUCUCGUUAAGGCAAACUGCUAAUAUAUGAUAAAAAUGUUUCAUAUGUUUGAAGUUAAAUUUCUGUAAUUAAUUGUUAAUUGGUAUAGUGUCUGUAAUUAAUUACUUAAUAAAGGUCUGAAUUGUUCCUUCUGUUUACUAA
Non-coding RNA from Zootermopsis nevadensis, 765 nucleotides. The record is from RefSeq and is a predicted model, not a curated record. Lineage: Eukaryota; Metazoa; Arthropoda; Insecta; Blattodea; Termopsidae.